UGCAAUCCUUAGUAUCUCAGAACCAAGUUCAUCCAUCUUGAAAACUAGUCUUGCAUCUCUAAAGAAAACCAGGAUUGGCAUCUUCCAUUUUCUCUCAGCUAGCUGCAAAGCUUUAUCCUCAGCCAUGGUAUCAAAUCAAGUCCUCACUUGUUUGGAGUGCAAAUAAGUCAAUUUAGCUUGUGGGGAUACCGAAAAAAGGAUUCAAUUCUCACAAGCUAAUAAUCUCUGUAACCUUGUUUUUAAGAUGAUUUCGGAAGGGAGAUGCUGUAGAAAGGCGACAG
This 281-nucleotide unclassified non-coding RNA is filed under the name Hevea brasiliensis (rubber tree). The record is from RNAcentral. Lineage: Eukaryota; Viridiplantae; Streptophyta; Magnoliopsida; Malpighiales; Euphorbiaceae.